Molecule: long non-coding RNA, 1215 nt
Organism: Dioscorea cayenensis subsp. rotundata (Guinea yam)
Lineage: Eukaryota; Viridiplantae; Streptophyta; Magnoliopsida; Dioscoreales; Dioscoreaceae
Exons: 8
Source: RefSeq, a predicted model, not a curated record
GGCUGGCCUUGUGACAACUUUAAGUACAAGGACAAUUGUCUUUGGUGCAACUAAUCCUAAAGGACAAUAUGAUCCGAAUCAAUCUUUAUCUGUCAAUACAACAUUAUCAGGACCGUUGUUGAGCAGAUUCGACAUUGUCCUUGUACUCUUGGAUACAAAGAACCCUGAAUGGGAUGCCAUUGUUUCAUCUCAUAUUCUAGCUGAGAAAGGAGAACCAAGGAGAGGUAAUAGUGAUGAGGACUUAGGGGAGGUCUGGUCACUUCCUAUGCUCAGAAGGUAUAUCUACUAUGUUAAACAACGUUUUCAAACCGGUCCUGACCGAGGAAUCAGAACAAGUUAUUUCACGUUAUUAUCAACUCCAACGAAGAUCAGGGACACAAAAUGCUGCCAGAAUUACUGUUCGCAUGCUUGAGAGUUUGAUCCGUUUAGCCCAAGCCCAUGCAAGACUAAUGUUCCGAGAUGAGGUCACCAGGCUUGAUGCAAUUGCUGCAAUCUUAUGCAUCGAAUCGUCAAUGACAACAUCUGCCAUUGUGGACACUGUUGGGAAUGCUUUACAUUCCAACUUCACAGACAAUCCAGAUCAGGAGUAUGCCAGGCAAGAACAAUUAAUCCUUGAGAAGCUCAGAUCAAUCAAUGAAUGAGUUCUCGUAACGUGGAAGGAUGUGGUGCAUGCAAGUCAAGGCUGAAGACAUGUAGAUUUCUUGAUAGAGAUUGUUGGACGGAGAUCGAAUAGCGCUGCAUUGUGUUGUCCCCCCAACACAGCAGAUUAUGCAGUGUGUGCCACGUGGUUUGUUGUGGACCUGAGGAUGUGAAUGUCACUAUCUUGUGUGGAAGAAAGGAAAGGUAACUGCUUGUGAUGGGUGUACAACACCAGCCCAGCCUAAUAAAACAGCCUGCAAGUGGUUUCUUCUCUGCAAGGUAAGAACUGCUAACUCUAUUAAACAUACUCAAUCUUGUGUUGUCUCUGUGUAUAGUGCAUGCUGGCAAGUGCCUUUUUGUCUAUGCUAGGUGAGAAUGAUAGUGAUAACCUCAUCUAAUGAUCUAUCACUCUGAAUAUUUUCAAGGGAAAGAGGAAAAAUGGUUGAAAAUUCAUGAAAAAGAGAUUUUAUCAUAAUAUUCCUUUUUCUUAAUUUGUAUAUAAUUCUCUAAAAUCUGACUUUAGUUAUGGUCACCAAACUCAUAGCUUUAAUCAAAUAUGUAAGUCUGGGAAUUUUA